GACGGGUGAGUAACGCGUGGGUAACCUGCCCAUAAGUGGGGAAUAACAGUUGGAAACGACUGCUAAUACCGCAUAAGCUGAGCAAUCAGUAAAGGAGGCUAACGCUUCCGCUUAUGGAUGGGCCCGCGUCUGAUUAGCUAGUUGGAGGGGUAAUGGCCUACCAAGGCAACGAUCAGUAGCCGGCCUGAGAGGGUGGACGGCCACACUGGGACUGAGACACGGCCCAGACUCCUACGGGAGGGCAGCAGUGGGGAAUAUUGCGCAAUGGGGGAAACCCUGACGCAGCGACGCCGCGUGAGCGAAAGAAGGCCUUAGGGUCGUAAAGCUCUGUUUUAAGGGACGAAUAUCCUUAGUAGUAACUGACUAAGGAAUGACGGUACCUUAAGAGAAAGCCCCGGCUAACUACGUGCCAGCAGCCGCGGUAAGACGUAGGGGGCGAGCGUUGUCCGGAAUUACUGGGCGUAAAGAGCACGUAGGCGGGAUUUUAAGUCAGGUGUGAAAGACCGUGGCUCAACCACGGGGUUGCACAUGAAACUGGAAUUCUUGAGGGCAGGAGAGGAAAGUGGAAUUCCUGGUGUAGCGGUGAAAUGCGUAGAAAUCAGGAGGAACACCGGUGGCGAAGGCGACUUUCUGGACUGACCCUGACGCUGAGGUGCGAAAGCGUGGGUAGCAAACAGGAUUAGAUACCCUGGUAGUCCACGCUGUAAACGAUGGAUACUAGGUGUGGGAGGUAUCGACCCCUUCCGUGCCGCAGCAAACGCAAUAAGUAUCCCGCCUGAGAGUACGGUCGCAAGGCUGAAACUCAAGGAAUUGACGUGAACCGCACAA
Molecule: ribosomal RNA, 828 nt
Filed under: uncultured bacterium
Lineage: Bacteria
Description: bacterial SSU rRNA
Rfam family: Bacterial small subunit ribosomal RNA
Source: RNAcentral